This 406-nucleotide ribosomal RNA is filed under the name uncultured bacterium. RNAcentral describes it as "partial 16S ribosomal RNA". It matches the Rfam family "Bacterial small subunit ribosomal RNA", at positions 30 to 526 of the family's 1533-position model. The record is from RNAcentral.
AUUGAACGCUGGCGGCAGGCCUAACACAUGCAAGUCGAACGAGUGGCGGACGGGUGAGUAAUGUCUGGGAACCUGCCUGAUGGUGGGGGAUAACUACUGGAAACGUUAGCUAAUACCGCAUAUUAUCAGAUGUGCCCAGAUGGGCUUAGCUUGUUGGUGGGGUAACGGCUCACCAAGGCGACGAUCCCUAGCUGGUCUGAGAGGAUGAUCCGCCACACUGGAACUGGGACACGGUCCAGACUCCUACGGGAGGCAGCAGUGGGGAAUAUUGCACAAUGGGCGCAAGCCGGAUGCAGCCAUGCCGCGUGUAUGAAGAAGGCCGUCGGGUUGUAAAGUACUUUCAGCAGGGAGGCGUUACCCACAGAAGAAGCACCGGCUAACUCCGUGCCAGCAGCCGCGGUAAUUC